UGUUUGAAUACAAAUAAUAUUUGCUCUCAUGUGACCAUUGUUGCGAAGGCUUGGUUUGUAGAUAUGUAGCAGACAAUUGAAUAUCAUCUUACAUUCUUACUGCUUGGAAUUAACAGAAAGGAGAAAAAGAACAGAGAAAAUCUCCUGGAUGAGCAGUACAUGUUGCCAGGGACAAUACACUCUUGAAACUUCAUGAUAAUUGAUACAGCAUUCUAUGUAGUAUUAUAUAUAUAUAAAUGUUCAAAGGUCUAGCAUGUUUAUGCUACUGCUAUUGUUCCCAGUCCACUACUGAGAGCUUCUAAUUUCCCCGUGCUUCAUUCCACUUCUCAAUGUUUCUAAGUCUCGCAUACAUCUUUCGAAUCUUGUUAAGUUUUUGAGACUGAUCAAUUAUAAUACCAGCUGUUGACGGAUUCUCACUGAAGACUACCUCGUAACCAUCUCGGAAUGAGUCCAUUCCCUCAAUGAAAAGUUGCCAGAACAUGCCACCUGCAGCUGCACCUCCGCCCCUAGCCGACGAAUAUAUUGCUGAGUAGAUUGUAUUGAACAGCUGGUCUCUUUGUUCAUAAGGGGAGGUUUUAGAUGAUUUUCCAAACUCAGCAAAGAGAACUGGCUUUCGAAGUAUGUUCUGUGAAUCCUGGAUGUGAUUGUUCAGCCAAUUGUUCAAAAAAGACUCCUGGCUUUCACUAUCUGAACUAGGCAGCCAUUGGUCAGGAUAAGAGUGAACUGUUGCAAAAUCAAUGCCUGGAAUCUGAUUGUUUGCAAUGAAAUCUGUCCCUAUUUGAAAAUUUGGAUUGUAUUGCUGUUUUUGAGAUGA
This 814-nucleotide unclassified non-coding RNA is filed under the name Hevea brasiliensis (rubber tree). Lineage: Eukaryota; Viridiplantae; Streptophyta; Magnoliopsida; Malpighiales; Euphorbiaceae. The record is from RNAcentral.